AACUUUCAACAACGGAUCUCUUGGUUCUGGCAUCGAUGAAGAACGCAGCGAAAUGC
This 56-nucleotide ribosomal RNA is filed under the name Sclerotinia sclerotiorum. Its description in RNAcentral is "5.8S ribosomal RNA". It matches the Rfam family "5.8S ribosomal RNA", at positions 1 to 56 of the family's 154-position model. From Rfam's summary of the family: 5.8S ribosomal RNA (5.8S rRNA) is a component of the large subunit of the eukaryotic ribosome. It is transcribed by RNA polymerase I as part of the 45S precursor that also contains 18S and 28S rRNA. Functionally, it is thought that 5.8S rRNA may be involved in ribosome translocation. RNAcentral also lists the same sequence under 3 other names. The record is from RNAcentral. Lineage: Eukaryota; Fungi; Ascomycota; Leotiomycetes; Helotiales; Sclerotiniaceae.